GUUGCAGUUAAAAGCUCAUAGUUGAACCUUGAGCCUGGCUGGCCGGUCCGCCUCACCGCGUGCACUGGUCCGGCCGGGCUUUUCCUUCUGGGGAGCCGCAUGCCCUUCACUGGGUGUGUCGGGGAACCAGGACUUUUACUUUGAAAAAAUUAGAGUGUUCAAAGCAGGCCUAUGCUCGAAUACAUUAGCAUGGAAUAAUAGAAUAGGACGUGUGGUUCUAUUUUGUUGGUUUCUAGGACCGCCGUAGUGAUUAAUAGGGAUAGUCGGGGGCAUCAGUAUUCAAUUGUCAGAGGUGAAAUUCUUGGAUUUAUUGAAGACUAACUACUGCGAAAGCAUUUGCCAAGGAUGUUUUCAUUAAUCAGUGAACGAAAGUUAGGGGAUCGAAGACGAUCAGAUACCGUCGUAGUCUUAACCAUAAACUAUGCCGACUAGGGAUCGGACGGUGUUAUUUUUUGACCCGUCCGGCACCUUACGAGAAAUCAAAGUGCUUGGGCUCCAGGGGAAGUAUGGUCGCAAGGCUGAAACUUAAAGAAAUUGACGGAAGGGCACCACCAGGAGUGGAGCCUGCGGCUUAAUUUGACUCAACACGGGGAAACUCACCAGGUCCAGACACAAUGAGGAUUGACAGAUUGAGAGCUCUUUCUUGAUUUUGUGGGUGGUGGUGCAUGGCCGUUCUUAGUUGGUGGAGUGAUUUGUCUGCUUAAUUGCGAUAACGAACGAGACCUUGACCUGCUAAAUAGCCCGUAUUGCUUUGGCAGUACGCUGGCUUCUUAGAGGGACUUUCGGCUCAAGCCGACGAGUUCGAGCAUACAGGUCUGGGAUGCCCUUAGAUGUCUGGGCCGCACGCGCGCUACAUGAC
Molecule: ribosomal RNA, 859 nt
Filed under: uncultured fungus
Lineage: Eukaryota; Fungi
Description: SSU rRNA
Rfam family: Eukaryotic small subunit ribosomal RNA
Source: RNAcentral